GGCGGUUUAGUGCAGUGGUUUAGCAUCUCCUCUCUCCAUCUAUCUAGCGGCCCAGAUUGGCAUUGGGAGCUGAGGUGGGCUUCCAUAAGAUUUCCCAGAGGAAGACCCUGGUUCGAAUCCGAGCCCCGCCA
Molecule: non-coding RNA, 131 nt
Organism: Rhinocladiella mackenziei CBS 650.93
Lineage: Eukaryota; Fungi; Ascomycota; Eurotiomycetes; Chaetothyriales; Herpotrichiellaceae
Source: the annotation of a RefSeq genome assembly